GAUGAACGCUGGCGGCGUGCCUAAUACAUGCAAGUCGAGCGAACAGACGAGGAGCUUGCUCCUCUGACGUUAGCGGCGGACGGGUGAGUAACACGUGGAUAGCCUACCUAUAAGACUGGGAUAACUUCGGGAAACCGGAGCUAAUACCGGAUAAUAUAUUGAACCGCAUGGUUCAAUAGUGAAAGACGGUCUUGCUGUCACUUAUAGAUGGAUCCGCGCCGCAUUAGCUAGUUGGUAAGGUAACGGCUUACCAAGGCAACGAUGCGUAGCCGACCUGAGAGGGUGAUCGGCCACACUGGAACUGAGACACGGUCCAGACUCCUACGGGAGGCAGCAGUAGGGAAUCUUCCGCAAUGGGCGAAAGCCUGACGGAGCAACGCCGCGUGAGUGAUGAAGGUCUUCGGAUCGUAAAACUCUGUUAUUAGGGAAGAACAAAUGUGUAAGUAACUAUGCACGUCUUGACGGUACCUAAUCAGAAAGCCACGGCUAACUACGUG
RNAcentral lists this ribosomal RNA (497 nucleotides) under uncultured bacterium. RNAcentral describes it as "partial 16S ribosomal RNA". It matches the Rfam family "Bacterial small subunit ribosomal RNA", at positions 28 to 507 of the family's 1533-position model. The record is from RNAcentral.